GACGAACGCUGGCGGCGCGCCUAACACAUGCAAGUCGAACGGAGCUUACGUUUUGAAGUUUUCGGAUGGACGAAUGUAAGCUUAGUGGCGGACGGGUGAGUAACACGUGAGCAACCUGCCUUUCAGAGGGGGAUAACAGCCGGAAACGGCUGCUAAUACCGCAUAAUGUUGCGGGGGCACAUGCCCCUGCAACCAAAGGAGCAAUCCGCUGAAAGAUGGGCUCGCGUCCGAUUAGCCAGUUGGCGGGGUAACGGCCCACCAAAGCGACGAUCGGUAGCCGGACUGAGAGGUUGAACGGCCACAUUGGGACUGAGACACGGCCCAG
This 325-nucleotide ribosomal RNA is filed under the name uncultured bacterium. RNAcentral describes it as "bacterial SSU rRNA". It matches the Rfam family "Bacterial small subunit ribosomal RNA", at positions 28 to 334 of the family's 1533-position model. The record is from RNAcentral.